GAUGAACGCUGACAGAAUGCUUAACACAUGCAAGUCUUUGGCGAAGCUGUGCUUGCACAGCCUAGCCAAGGCGCACGGGUGAGUAACGCGUCAGGAACUUGCCCUGCAGUCAGGGAUAACAGACGGAAACGACUGAUAAGACCUGGUAAAGUCAGGCGGACUCAUGUCCAGCCUGAUGAAAAGAGAUGCUGCAGGAGAGCCUUGCGUCCUAUUAGCUUGUUGGUGGGGUAACGGCCCAACAAGGCGAUGAUAGGUAGCCGGCCUGAGAGGGUGGACGGCCAAAAGGGGAAUGAGAUACGGCCCUUACUCCUCCGGGGGGCAGCAGUGGGGAAUAUUGGACAAUGGGGGCAACACUGAUCCAGCAAUUCUGUGUGCACGAUGAAGGUUUUCGGAUUGUAAAGUGCUUUCAGCAGGGAAGAAAAAAAUGACGGUACCUGCAGAAGAAGCGACGGCUAAAUACGUG
This 463-nucleotide ribosomal RNA is filed under the name uncultured bacterium. RNAcentral's name for it is "partial 16S ribosomal RNA". It matches the Rfam family "Bacterial small subunit ribosomal RNA", at positions 28 to 507 of the family's 1533-position model. The record is from RNAcentral.